RNAcentral lists this non-coding RNA (101 nucleotides) under bovine gut metagenome. The record is from RNAcentral.
UACCAAUAGGGGUGCCUUAUCUGCCCGUGCAGAUUGAAAGACAGGCUGAGAUCAAACCCUUUGCACCUGAUACGGAUAAUGCCGACACAGGGAAUCGAGUU